GGGUUGAGCGACAUGGAUGUCGCGAGAGCGCUGCCGGGCCAUGGAUGGCCCGUCAGCGCGGGCCC
Regulatory RNA element from Pseudomonas sp. FeS53a, 65 nucleotides. Lineage: Bacteria; Pseudomonadati; Pseudomonadota; Gammaproteobacteria; Pseudomonadales; Pseudomonadaceae. The record is from Rfam.